RNAcentral lists this transfer RNA (71 nucleotides) under Darevskia unisexualis. Its description in RNAcentral is "tRNA-Thr". It matches the Rfam family "tRNA". Rfam says of the family: Transfer RNA (tRNA) molecules are approximately 80 nucleotides in length. Their secondary structure includes four short double-helical elements and three loops (D, anti-codon, and T loops). The record is from RNAcentral. Lineage: Eukaryota; Metazoa; Chordata; Lepidosauria; Squamata; Lacertidae.
GCCCUAGUAGCUUAAGCUAACCUAAAGCCCUGGUCUUGUAAACCAAAAAUGAGAUAUACUCUCCUAGGUCA